ACUACUCCUGUCUUGUGAUGCUGCGGAGCUUAGUUCUCCUGUAUGCCAACGGGCGCUGCUGGGCACCUAGAGAACAGAGACGGUUGCAGAUGAGGCAGGCGAUCGCGGGCUUUAGGGGUACCCUCUGUGGAGCAGAGGGGUCCUGGAAGCUCCUAAAAAAGAGUCAGGCUGGUGGUAUCACCAGCCUAAAUGACUUUGCCUGGUUCCUACAAAUCUGCUGCCCUUCCACAUGCUCAGCUCCUGUUCCUCCUGCAGGACCCCACUGAAUGCUCUGCACCCCUGAGAAGACGCCUCUAUCAUACGCUCCUCACCGACUUUGAGGCUCACUCUCCCUCUGAGGGAUGGAACCCAGGACCUCGUGUGUGGCAAGCAAGCACUGUGCUGCUGACCUGUACCCAGCCUACCCUUCUAUUUCCUACCUGUCCCUCCUAUGAAGAAGAUAGACUCUAGCCUGGAGAAUGGCCCCACCUCCACUGCCUGGGAUGGGGAAGUGAAGAGUGGCCGUCCUCCAUUGUAACAGCUGUCCUCUUAGAACCACUUUGCUUGGCUCUGGGAUCCUGGCUCUCUCCUGUACAGCCCCACGGGAAGCUCCCCACACCUCUCACAUGAGGACCGAAGUAUGCUUGGAGAGGUUCCAUCUCCCCAGUGGGGCUUAUGUCCUCUGUGGGGUGGACAGUAUUAGGUACUCACUCCAGAGAUGGACACCGUGCCCUGCUUCUGGGCCUGAGGUGAGAGGAUUUGGCAUGUACACUGUGGGAACAGAGCCAACACAAAGGCAUGCCUUGU
Molecule: long non-coding RNA, 786 nt
Filed under: Cricetulus griseus (Chinese hamster)
Lineage: Eukaryota; Metazoa; Chordata; Mammalia; Rodentia; Cricetidae
Description: lncRNA (ENSCGRG00015009393.2)
Source: RNAcentral